AUUGAACGCUGGCGGCAUGGCUAAUGCAUGCAAGUCGAACGAAAGCCCUUCGGGGCGAAAGUGGCGAAAGGGCGAGUAAUACGAUCGAACGUACCCCAAGGUGGAGGAUAGUGUCGGGAAACUGACGGUAAUACUCCAUGUGCUCUUCGGAGGAAAGCUUUGGCGCCUCGGGAGCGGCGAUCGUCCUAUCAGGUAGUUGGUGAGGUAAUGGCUCACCAAGCCGAAGACGGGUAGCGGGUGUGAGAGCAUGACCCGCCGCAUCGGGACUGAGACACUGCCCGGACUCCUACGGGAGGCUGCAGCGACGAAUCUUCCGCAAUGGGCGCAAGCCUGACGGAGCAAUGCCGCGUGUGGGACGAAGCGUCUUCGACGUGUAAACCACUGUCAGAAUCUAGGAACACUGACCAGACUCAAAGGAAGGGCCGGCUAACCUCGUG
Molecule: ribosomal RNA, 437 nt
Filed under: uncultured bacterium
Lineage: Bacteria
Description: bacterial SSU rRNA
Rfam family: Bacterial small subunit ribosomal RNA
Source: RNAcentral